This 253-nucleotide ribosomal RNA is filed under the name uncultured bacterium. RNAcentral describes it as "partial 16S ribosomal RNA". It matches the Rfam family "Bacterial small subunit ribosomal RNA", at positions 524 to 776 of the family's 1533-position model. The record is from RNAcentral.
UACAGAGGGGGCAAGCGUUGUUUGGAAUUACUGGGCGUAAAGGGCGCGUAGGCGGCCUGCUAAGUCGAACGUGAAAUCCCCGGGCUCAACCCGGGAACUGCGUCCGAUACUGGCAGGCUUGAAUCCGGGAGAGGGAUGCGGAAUUCCAGGUGUAGCGGUGAAAUGCGUAGAUAUCUGGAGGAACAUCGGUGGCGAAGGCGGCAUCCUGGACCGGCAUUGACGCUGAGGCGCGAAAGCGUGGGGAGCGAACAGG